GACGAACGCUGGCGGCGUGCCUAAUACAUGCAAGUCGAGCGAAGUUUUUCUGGUGCUUGCACCGGAAAAACUUAGCGGCGAACGGGUGAGUAACACGUAAAGAACCUGCCUCAUAGACUGGGACAACUAUUGGAAACGAUAGCUAAUACCGGAUAACAGCAUUAACUGCAUGGUUGAUGUUUAAAAGUUGGUUUUGCUAACACUAUGAGAUGGCUUUGCGGUGCAUUAGCUAGUUGGUGGGGUAAAGGCCUUCCAAGGCGACGAUGCAUAGCCGACCUGAGAGGGUGAUCGGCCACACUGGGACUGAGACACGGCCCAGACUCCUACGGGAGGCAGCAGUAGGGAAUCUUCCGCAAUGGGCGAAAGCCUGACGGAGCAACGCCGCGUGAGUGAAGAAGGAUUUCGGUUCGUAAAGCUCUGUUGUUAGGGAAGAAUGAUUGUGUAGUAACUAUACACAGUAGAGACGGUACCUAACCAGAAAGCCACGGCUAACUACGUG
RNAcentral lists this ribosomal RNA (499 nucleotides) under uncultured bacterium. RNAcentral describes it as "partial 16S ribosomal RNA". It matches the Rfam family "Bacterial small subunit ribosomal RNA", at positions 28 to 507 of the family's 1533-position model. The record is from RNAcentral.